Molecule: ribosomal RNA, 917 nt
Filed under: methanogenic prokaryote enrichment culture B19_52
Description: bacterial SSU rRNA
Rfam family: Bacterial small subunit ribosomal RNA
Source: RNAcentral
AGAGUUUGAUCCUGGCUCAGGAUGAACGCUAGCCGAUAGGCCUAACACAUGCAAGUCGAGGGGCAGCACAUGAAGUAGCAAUACGGAUGGUGGCGACCGGCGCACGGGUGAGUAACGCGUAUGCAACCUACCUACAACAGGGGGAUAACCCGUUGAAAGACGGACUAAUACCCCAUAAUACAGGGGUCCCGCAUGGGGAUAUUUGUUAAAGAUUAAUCGGUUGUAGAUGGGCAUGCGUUCCAUUAGCUGGUUGGUGAGGUAACGGCUCACCAAGGCAACGAUGGAUAGGGGAACUGAGAGGUUUAUCCCCCACACUGGUACUGAGACACGGACCAGACUCCUACGGGAGGCAGCAGUGAGGAAUAUUGGUCAAUGGACGCAAGUCUGAACCAGCCACGUCGCGUGAAGGAAGACGGCCCUACGGGUUGUAAACUUCUUUUGUAAGGGAAUAAAGUGAGUCACGUGUGACUUUUUGCAUGUACCUUACGAAUAAGGAUCGGCUAACUCCGUGCCAGCAGCCGCGGUAAUACGGAGGAUCCGAGCGUUAUCCGGAUUUAUUGGGUUUAAAGGGUGCGCAGGCGGGAGAUUAAGUCGGCGGUGAAAUUUUGCAGCUCAACUGUAAAAGUGCCAUCGAUACUGGUUUUCUUGAGUGUGGAUGAAGUAGGCGGAAUUUGUGGUGUAGCGGUGAAAUGCAUAGAUAUCACAAGGAACACCGAUUGCGCAGGCAGCUUACUAAACCAUAACUGACGCUCAGGCACGAAGGCGUGGGGAGCAAACAGGAUUAGAUACCCUGGUAGUCCACGCAGUAAACGAUGAUUACUAGCUGUUUGCGAUACAAUGUAAGCGGCUGAGCGAAAGCGUUAAGUAAUCCACCUGGGGAGUACGUUCGCAAGAAUGAAACUCAAAGGAAUUGACGG